RNAcentral lists this ribosomal RNA (465 nucleotides) under Vreelandella stevensii. RNAcentral describes it as "partial 16S ribosomal RNA". It matches the Rfam family "Bacterial small subunit ribosomal RNA", at positions 338 to 795 of the family's 1533-position model. Lineage: Bacteria; Pseudomonadati; Pseudomonadota; Gammaproteobacteria; Oceanospirillales; Halomonadaceae. The record is from RNAcentral.
CCUACGGGGGGCAGCAGUGGGGAAUAUUGGACAAUGGGCGAAAGCCUGAUCCAGCCAUGCCGCGUGUGUGAAGAAGGCCUUCGGGUUGUAAAGCACUUUCAGUGGGGAAGAAAGCCUUGGGGCUAAUACCCUCGAGGAAGGACAUCACCCACAGAAGAAGCACCGGCUAACUCCGUGCCAGCAGCCGCGGUAAUACGGAGGGUGCGAGCGUUAAUCGGAAUUACUGGGCGUAAAGCGCGCGUAGGCGGUCUGAUAAGCCGGUUGUGAAAGCCCCGGGCUCAACCUGGGAACGGCAUCCGGAACUGUCAGGCUAGAGUGCAGGAGAGGAAGGUAGAAUUCCCGGUGUAGGAGUGAAAUGCGUAGAGAUCGGGAGGAAUACCAGUGGCGAAGGCGGCCUUCUGGACUGACACUGACGCUGAGGUGCGAAAGCGUGGGUAGCAAACAGGAUUAGAUACCCCAGUAGUC